CUGCAAUGCAGUAGGUUAAUCAGACAUUUUAACAAAAGUAUUCAAGUAACAUUUUUAGUUUAUAAUGCUAGUAGCAUUAUUUACAUGUUUUGAUAUAUGAUUUGUAAUAUAAAUUAGCUUCUCCAGUUUAUAGUGUUUAAUUCUAGCAUUCCAUUUUAUACAUGCAUAUAUACCUCUCUCUCAGAUGUCAACUGGAAGCAAUUUUGACUGUUUUCUACCUAAUGAAGUCAAACUGUUAUUCUGAAUGUUUUUGUUCACCUGAAACUUAUUUUUGAGUAGGUUGAAAGGACCAAGAUACUUGAGUGUUAAAAGGGCUACAAGUGUCCUCUUUAUAUGCGGGAAAUACAUGAUUGUAAAAGUCACAAAAGGGGAAGUACUUUUAUGCUCUGUGGAUUAUCCAAUAUUUAGUUUUUUUAGAUUGUUUUAAAACAGGUUGAGAAGUGGUUUAGUUAAAUUUAGGUGACAAUUUAUUUUCCAACUAAAAUUGAAAAAUACACCUUUUCCUCACUUCCCUCCUUGCAGUUCCUCUCAGGUCCCAAGUUUCCAAGUGAUUUGAACUAAAUAUUACAUUUAUUGAGAAGCUGUUUUUGUUCUUAAUUAUACUGAGCUAAGCACUCCAGAUGGAAAGUCAUUUUGUACUAUGUACAAUACCCAAGAAGAGGUCACAUUGAGUCAGAAGACUGUAAGUACCACUUUUGACGCUCCAGAUAUUAACCUUGUACACACUGUAAUAAAACAAUUAGAAAAUAAUAUGAGCCACCUAUGAUGCAGAUGUACACAUGCUCGUUACUUUUAAGAUUGUGCUGUGUUGAUUGAUCACAAUGAAAUGUUAUAAAUUGAGACAAAAUACAAAGUUACAUUUUUGGACCAUAUUAAAACUGCAAGAAGAUGGGGUCUUACUUAAAGAUCUUUUAGACAACUGUUAAAUCCUGUCACAUGAUAUUUAGACGUGUAGAAUGUAGCUCAAUUUUUGAAAAGUAACUGACCUAGAGGGUUAAUGUUGAAACUGACACAUUUUCAAAUUAAAAUGCUUAUUUUGU
RNAcentral lists this long non-coding RNA (1040 nucleotides) under Bos taurus (domestic cattle). Its description in RNAcentral is "long non-coding RNA NONBTAT025136". The record is from RNAcentral. Lineage: Eukaryota; Metazoa; Chordata; Mammalia; Artiodactyla; Bovidae.